Rattus norvegicus (Norway rat) is the source of this 4281-nucleotide non-coding RNA. Lineage: Eukaryota; Metazoa; Chordata; Mammalia; Rodentia; Muridae. The record is from RefSeq and is a predicted model, not a curated record.
GAGAGAGAGAGAGAGAGAGAAAGAGAGAGAGAGAGAGAAAGAGAGAGAGAGACACAGAGACAGAGACACAGAGACAGAGACACAGAGACACAGAGAGAGACAGAGACACAGAGACACAGAUAGAAACCCUGUCUCAAAUAACAACAAUGACAACAAACCAAAAAAUAAGGUAGAUAGUUCAAAGGAAAUGAUUCUUGAGGUUGACUUGCGGCCUUCACAUACACACACAUACAUCAAAACACAUGAACACACGUGUUUAUGUGCUCAAACACAGGAGAGGACUACUGUACUGAACAAGGAUGACUGCAGGCUUCUUGGAAGUCCACUGCUCUUCAACUCUGUUCUAGUCAGCUUUCCGUUGCUGUGACAAAGUACUUGAGAGAGAAGCUUGAAGGUUUGUCUUGGGCCACAGCUCCAUAGAUUUCAGCCCACAGAGUGCUGCUUCUGGGCCUGUGUGCCGUGGGGAAGAACAUGGUGGAAUGGUGUGGUGGGUGAAGGCUGCUUAUUGUAACAUGGUUAAGAAGCAGAGAAAGAGGAGGAUCUGUGUAUAUGAUAAACUCUGCAAAGGCAACUUCCUCCAACUGGGUCCCUACAACCCAGGAGCCUAUCCGGCAGGCGUAAAUCAUGGGGCUAACCUAAUAUCAUUCAUAGUACCAUCAACUGGGGACCUAGCUGGCAACAUGAGACUUUGGGGCCAUUUGUUAUACAAAUAACAACAGGCUGCUGUUAGCAGGAUGUGUCAUCUCUGAGAUCGUGAAAAGGUAAAUCCUUUGCUCAGUGGGCCAGUUUUGGAGAGUGUGAUAGUUUGAAUGAGAAAUGUUUGCUAUAAACUCGUGGUUUUGAACUCUCAGUCCUCAGUGCUGUUUGGGGAGGUUAUGGGGAGGUGGAGUCUUGCUGGAGAAAGCACACUGCCUGGAACAGGUUUGGGGGAUUUGAAACCCCACUUUCCUUUCAGCUCACUCUCUGCUUCUUCCUUGCUGUCAGACAUGCUAUCUCUCAGCUUCCCAUCAUCAUGCUUUCAUGAUUGGACUCUCCCCAACCUCCAGAACUGUAAGCCAAAAUAAAAUCUCUCUUCUCUAAGUUGCCUUUGGUCUUAGUAUUUUAUCACAUCAACAGAAAAGUAGCUAAUAUGAAAGGCAAGAAGGGAGAACCCUGGCAGUGUUCAUUUGCAUGAUUCCCGGGCUCCUGUGCCUUUUCACUUUUAAUUAAUGAAUUAAUAAGCUAUCAGUUCAUCAGGUCAGGGAGAGUGCUGGGUACCUAGCCCUCUUGCUUGUAUGAUGGAGACUGGUGUCCUAUGAUAGUCUGUCUUCCUUCUGGUGGUUGGUGGUGUGAGAACCCUACAGUCGACAGGACCCUACCCCAGGUUUGGUAGGCCAGAACUCAGGUGGAGGAACCUGGCAUAAGCAUUGUAUUGAUGACACUUAGCCAAAAGCCCCAGGCUUGGUGAAAGUUGGGGUUUCAACUUGAAUGGCUGGACACACACUGUUGGGUACUGGCGAGUCUCACACUCCAUGAUGGUGGCAGGGCCCCUGGAGUGAGUUAGGUGUUGCCAUGGAUAGACAAUAGGAGGAAGCUACCUUUACCACCAGGUUCUGUGUUCUCAGGAGGCUGUCUUGCAGGUUUCUUGCUGUGGUUACCUCUGCCUCAUGAUUAGGUUUACUGCAGAGGACAGACAGGAAGCCUGAGGGUGGAGGAAAGUGGUCAAGGCUUCCUCUGCCUGUUUCCUUCCUAGGGAGAGUUCUUCCUGUGGAGACAACUGAGACUGCGGCUUCUGUGUCCUCUCUGGAAGCCCUUUUUCUUCUCUCUUGGUCCCUAUUGUUUGUUUUGCUUCAUAGCACCCUGGUGUCUUGGUAUACUCCUUUGUAAAAAGUCCUUUGGGAACUUCCUGUUACAUCCCCAAAUGUCUGGGCCACCGUCCUCCACCCAGAUUCUAACUCAUCAAGGUGGGCUUGUAAACUGUAUCUUUGACCCACAGCCUUCAGGAGCUGAGUGGGACCCCAUCCUUUUCUCCACAAAGCAGCUCAUAAGUGGGUCCUCAAAUGCUCGAGGAGGACCCAAGGGGCCAGAGCUGGGGAGUCCAGAUGCCCUCAUCCUGAAGAACCACACGUGUUUUGAUCUGGGGAUGGUUCUGCUUCCACAAGUGUGGUUCUUGAGUCUCAGCAGAGACAUGAGUCCUUAAAGAAGAUGUUCCACUUGUUCUCAGGGUGAGCUCCUUUCCUUGAGAGAUGAUUAACCAACUGUGGCUAGGGCGUCCCAAGCCUGGGAUGCUUAUCUCUGUGGAGAGAGGCACUCUACUGGGGACAACCCUCACAUAAUCCUGGGGAUUUCUCUAGCGUGUCAUUUUAAUAGGUGUGAUUGUGGUUUGGAGUCUGAUGUGCUGGUAAUUAUCUUCCUGGGCUUAAUCCCUGUGCCCCAGUAAUGCCAUUAUGGUCUCGACAUGGAGUCUUAAAACAGUGAUUAUUUAUAGUGUGCUUCACUGUGCUGCAGGGUGGGGCUGUGGAAGCCCCACUGUCUCUUUUACAGCACUUUGAUGAUGGCUGUGCUGGCUUCUGUGAAUGGCUCAGAUGGGAUCAGGGUCAGACUUUCCCUCCAAGAGCUGCAGUCUGAGUCUCUCUUUCCAGAACAGAGUUGUGUCCAGCCAGGACAUGUGCCCAGAGGCUUCAUGUAUGCCAGCCCCACCCAUACUGCUCAGAGGCCACUGGACAGUUGAGUGGUUAGGAGUAGAGUCUUGCUGAGUCCCAUGAUGGUUGUGUACAAAAGGCUGACCUGCCUUCUUUUCUCUACAUCUGUAAAACAAGCAUAGUUGGGAAUACCUCCUUACAGCCUCCAAUGUGUAGAACUCACUGACAGAAACUGGUAGCUAGCCCAGUUACCCCAGCUCUAGAACAUUCUGGUAGAGACAAAACUGGUUGUAAUAGAACUGGUUAUUAGGUCUUGGGGCACAGGGAUUUUGAGGGCUGGGAGGCUCACUAUGGAUGCUACAGUGGAUGCAUACCAUUGCCAUGUGCAACCCCCCCCCCCAUAUGCAUGUCCCAUCCCACACUGAUAUAAACUGAAUUCUUGGCAGUAACUCUCUUUUACUGUGUGCUUGUGACAAUGUAACAAUGUACUCACAACCGUGUAACUACAUAACACAACAAUGUAACUGUGCUAAUGUAACCACAGCAUCAACAAUUUGAAUGUUUGCUACAAUGUAUCAAGGCACAAUAAGCAAUUGUGAUUGUUCUAGAAUGUGGUUUGAGCCAGAGACUGUAUGUGGACAGGCAGAGGGGAUCUGGGCAUUUCUUUCUCACUCCUUUCAAUUUUGUUUUGAAUACAGCAAAUUGCUCUCAGUAAUGAGACCUAGUUUUGUUUUUAAGAAACCUACCUUACUGGGAACAGUGAGGCACAAAUGAGGUAAUAUGGACAAGCUGUGUACCUGGCACUGGUCAAUAGCAUCAGUCAUUCUGGGUUGCUUGGCUCAGACCCCAGCCCUCUCCCUGCCAAAGCUGGAGGAGAACUACACAUGUCUUCAUGCUGAUGGAGCUCUUCGAUCCCGGGGAGGCAGACUGGGGAGAUGGAGCAAUGGGCAGGGACACAGCUCUGGCCCAAUUCUGCAGGCUGACUUCUGAAGUGCUGAUCAGCGUGAGGGUGUGUGGGAGGGGCUGGUACACCCAUGCCUGCCUCCCCUCUUGAGGCCUCCCCACUUUGUACCUGGGGAGGAUCCGCAGAAGGGUGCUCCCCUGGGGCCUCACAAGUCUGUUAGGGAAUCUUUGUUAACAGCUUCACAUACGUCUUUUGAAUUAUAAAUCGAUAAAUAGUUAAUUCAGUAAUAGAAUUCUUCUGCAUAUUUCAUGUGGCCUACACUCUGAGGGGCUUAGGAUGCUGAUGGCAAAGCAACAGAAGACUGAGGUUCAAGCUUUUUAAACUCCUGUCAGCACUUCUGGAUUCGGUCGACAGUGGGGUAUGGAACACAGGCUAGCCCCUCCUGGCUCCAGCUCCUCUUCCUCUGGGGCCACACAGUGAAGAUGGAGCCCAGUGUACCCUGGGCAUCACUGAUGAAGCGUCUGUACCACCAAUGGCUCUAUUCUGCAGUGGGUUUAUUCCAUGGUACAUAUGGAGAUUCCUUCCACCAUUUGGUUGCUUGAUAUCUUCUACCACGGAGCCAUGACAUAGUCCUCAACCAGGAGAAGCAGAAUUCUGCUGGCGCCCCAGGGCAAGAACACUCAUCCGGAGACUGGCCCAUACACCUAGUGUGUGCAGUGUAUGAUUCCAGCUGUCAAUACCUCUUCAUGAGUCUUU